This 231-nucleotide unclassified non-coding RNA is filed under the name uncultured Clavulina. RNAcentral's name for it is "sequence contains ITS2". The record is from RNAcentral. Lineage: Eukaryota; Fungi; Basidiomycota; Agaricomycetes; Cantharellales; Hydnaceae.
AAUUCUCAAACUGGGAUGCUUUUUUGUUUCUCGGCUUGGUGUUGGGCUUUGCAGUUCCUUUGAUUGGGAUGGCUGGCCUCAAAAGCAUUAGCUGGCUUUUCAUGUGGCAUUGGUUCUACUCAGCGUGAUAAUGAUCUGACCGCCGAGGACAUCUUUCGAGAUGGCCAAUUCUCAUUUGGGCUGCUUCUAAUUUUGGUAGAGCGGAUUCUGAAUCUGUUCCACUUUUUCAGC